AUGGUUAAGUGGGGGGCACCCCUGAAUCCGCCAUGCCGCGUGUGUGAAGAAGGCCCUCGGGUUGGAAAGCACUUUCAGCGAGGAAGAACGCUUGUCGGUUAAUACCCGGCAAGGGAGACAUCACUCGCAGAAGAAGCACCGGGUAACUCCGUGCCAGCAGCCGCGGUAAUACGGAGGGUGCCAGCGUUAAUCGGAAUUACUGGGCGUAAAGCGUGCGUAGGCGGCUUGAUAAGCCGGUUGUGAAAGCCCCGGGCUCAACCUGGGAACGGCAUCCGGAACUGUUAGGCUAGAGUGCAGGAGAGGAAGGUAGAAUUCCCGGUGUAGCGGUGAAAUGCGUAGAGAUCGGGAGGAAUACCAGUGGCGAAGGCGGCCUUCUGGACUGACACUGACGCUGAGGUACGAAAGCGUGGGUAGCAAACAGGAUUAGAUACCCUGGUAGUCCACGCCGUAAACCAUGUCGACUAGCCGUUGGGGUCCUCGAGACCUUUGUGGCGCAGUUAACGCACUAAGUCGACCGCCUGGGGAGUACGGCCGCAAGGUUAAAACUCAAAUGAAUUGACGGGGGCCCGCACAAGCGGUGGAGCAUGUGGUUUAAUUCGAUGCAACGCGAAGAACCUUACCUACCCUUGACAUCGUGCGAACUUUCCAGAGAUGGAUUGGUGCCUUCGGGAGCGCACAGACAGGUGCUGCAUGGCUGUCGUCAGCGUCGUGUUUGUGAAAUGUUGGGUUAAGUCCCCGUAAACGAAGCGCAACCCUUGUCCCCUAUUUGCCCAGCGAUUUCGGUCGGGAACUCUUAGGGAAGACUGCUUGUGACAAACCGGGAGGAAGGUGGGGACAACGUCAAGUCAUUCAUGGCCUCUUUACGGGUACGGCUACACCACGUGCUACAAUGGCCGGGAC
Molecule: ribosomal RNA, 900 nt
Filed under: Halomonas sp. A2BC18
Lineage: Bacteria; Pseudomonadati; Pseudomonadota; Gammaproteobacteria; Oceanospirillales; Halomonadaceae
Description: bacterial SSU rRNA
Rfam family: Bacterial small subunit ribosomal RNA
Source: RNAcentral